GCCACUUUAGCUCAGCUGGUAGAGCAACUGAUUUGUAAUCAGUAGGUCGUUGGUUCGAUUCCGACAAGUGGCUCCC
RNAcentral lists this transfer RNA (76 nucleotides) under Flavihumibacter solisilvae. RNAcentral describes it as "tRNA-Thr". It matches the Rfam family "tRNA". From Rfam's summary of the family: Transfer RNA (tRNA) molecules are approximately 80 nucleotides in length. Their secondary structure includes four short double-helical elements and three loops (D, anti-codon, and T loops). The record is from RNAcentral. Lineage: Bacteria; Pseudomonadati; Bacteroidota; Chitinophagia; Chitinophagales; Chitinophagaceae.